This 427-nucleotide ribosomal RNA is filed under the name uncultured bacterium. RNAcentral's name for it is "partial 16S ribosomal RNA". It matches the Rfam family "Bacterial small subunit ribosomal RNA", at positions 355 to 774 of the family's 1533-position model. The record is from RNAcentral.
UGGGGAAUAUUGGACAAUGGGCGAAAGCCUGAUCCAGCCAUGCCGCGUGUGUGAAGAAGGUCUUCGGAUUGUAAAGCACUUUAAGUUGGGAGGAAGGGCAUUAACCUAAUACGUUAGUGUUUUGACGUUACCGACAGAAUAAGCACCGGCUAACUCUGUGCCAGCAGCCGCGGUAAUACAGAGGGUGCAAGCGUUAAUCGGAAUUACUGGGCGUAAAGCGCGCGUAGGUGGUUUGUUAAGUUGGAUGUGAAAUCCCCGGACUCAACCUGGGAACUGCAUUCAAAACUGACUGACUAGAGUAUGGUAGAGGGUGGUGGAAUUUCCUGUGUAGCGGUGAAAUGCGUAGAUAUAGGAAGGAACACCAGUGGCGAAGGCGACCACCUGGACUAAUACUGACACUGAGGUGCGAAAGCGUGGGGAGCAAACA